Molecule: long non-coding RNA, 1803 nt
Organism: Anser cygnoides (Swan goose)
Lineage: Eukaryota; Metazoa; Chordata; Aves; Anseriformes; Anatidae
Source: Ensembl
CGUCUGCCUCAAGUCCGCUGCGGAGCUGAUGUGCUGGCUGCUCGACACCUCUUGCAUGAAUCACUGCCUCUGCCCUUUUUUUCCAUUUGCCAUUUCUGGUCAUUUUUCCCUGUUCUGCCGAAUCCCAUGCACCCAUGAAUGCAGUCCAUUGGUUUUGGGAUGUGGUGAGCCGUAUGUGCAGCCCCACUUUUCUAAGGGCUGGAAACUGGUCUGUCCUUGCAGACUGAAGAACAACACACUCUCACUGAAGACCAGCAGCCUUCUCAUUUCAAGCCCCUACCCCUGGCCACGGUUGGGCUGGGCGUGCAGGCUGCAGACCUCACCUGUAUGUUGGAGGUCUGGGUCUCCUGGGCCGUGGGGCUGCCCAGGCUGUGGCAGGGAGCAGGAGGAGGGAAUGGGUCUGUACCUGAUGUGGCGGUGGGACAAGCCACACUUUCACUUCUACUCUAUUGCUAAAAAUAAGUAUUUUCAUAGCUGUGUGUUUGCGUGGAGCUCCCUGUCUGAGGAAACAGAAACAUCUUAGUACCCCUGUGUCUCUUGGUACUACUAUCCUUUUAGCCUGGACACUAAAGACUUUUUAAGAGAGGAAUAUUCAUUAUUCAUGCUGAACUUUUUUUUUUUUAAGUUCAGGAGAGUUCUCCUUGUUUACAGUACAGUUAACUGUAGCCCACCUUAUAGGCAUGAAAGAUGCUUCUUUUUAAUCCCCUUCUCUUAAGAUCCAAGAAAGCGUGAAGGAGUGAAACGACCCAAUCGCUCACUGCUAACAUGGGCUGCUGAAGUGAUGAUACUGGGUCACGACAGCUGUCCAGAUGCUCUGUGCACUGGGAUCUUGCGCUGGCUGGGAUGUUCCCGUACCAGGCGUCGGUAAUAGUGUGAGAAAGGGAAACAUGAUCGGGGCUCUUCUCCAGGAGAGUAAAAUACACACCCAGCAGGGAGGAGAAUAUCCUAGAAACAAACAGCAGGGAGCUGAAACAAGGAAGCAGCAGCACAGGAAAUGGAGCUGCAACUCUGAUUCCAGCAGAUGGAUUAGUGGAAGUCAAAUGGGGGAGAAACCAGGGGAUUUCUGUGCAAGUGGGAGAGUGCUCUGUUAGGUUCACCCUUGGCCAGUAAGGCCAGCUUUUGCGCUGGGUGUGCAUGUAUGUGAAAGAGCAGAAGAGGUGUAGAGAAGUAAUUGAUAUGUCUCCCCAUCAUGAAAGAGUUGGGUUCUUACUUAAUUUUUCUUUUCUGAACAGUCUUUUUUCUUUUUUUUUUUUUCCCCCUCAAUCUUCGGGUCAGGUUUUUAAAUUAAGGAACUGCUUUUUAAAACUUUACCUGCCGAAAAAAAGUUGUUUGUUAAACUGAUUCUGUUUCACUAGUAGCUUUGGUCUUUCCUAAGUGAUAUCUUUGAACUUUUUUUUUUUUUUAACUAAAGCAUAGCUCUAGCAAUGCUGCUUGUAAGGAAAUCCAGCAUGUAGAGGUACCCAUGUGAAUGGGAAGAAAAAGGAUUAAGUCUAAUGAGUGGAGUAGUCAACUAAAGCUGUCAACAUUCAGUUACAUUUCUUUGCCCUCACGUUUUGUACAAUGUAGUAAUGCAUUUGGAAAUUAAAAUGAGCAUUCUCCUGUAUUGUCUUUCAGUGGCCCUUUUUGGCUCUUACUAAUUAUUUCAUAUCAAGUGCAACAAAUACAAAACUAAACGAGCUUUUAAAAGUGUAAUACUGCUAUUAAUUAAGUGGAAACUUAUAAAUUUCCCCUUUAUAAGACACUAGAUAAGCUGAGAUUCACCAAGGACAAUAAAUACAUUAUAUCUACUUAGUGUUUUAAGCA